RNAcentral lists this ribosomal RNA (1203 nucleotides) under Clostridioides difficile. RNAcentral's name for it is "bacterial LSU rRNA". It matches the Rfam family "Bacterial large subunit ribosomal RNA", at positions 1511 to 2723 of the family's 2925-position model. The record is from RNAcentral. Lineage: Bacteria; Bacillati; Bacillota; Clostridia; Peptostreptococcales; Peptostreptococcaceae.
CCGAGAUCUACACGUAAGGAGUCGUCGGCAGCGUCAGAUGUGUAUAAGAGACAGGUGAUGGGGAGCGAAAUUUAGUAGCGAAGUAGCUGAUUUCACACUGUCAAGAAAAGUCUCUAUCGAGGUUAAAGGUACCCGUACCGCAAACCGACACAGGUGGGUGAGGAGAGUAUCCUAAGGCCAGCGAGAGAACUGUUGUUAAGGAACUCGGCAAAAUGACCCCGUAACUUAGGGAUAAGGGGUGCCACCAUCAGGUGGCCGCAGAGAAUAGGCCCAAGCGACUGUUUACCAAAAACAUAGGUUUCUGCUAAGUCGCAAGACGAUGUAUAGGAGCUGACGCCUGCCCGGUGCUGGAAGGUUAAGGGGAUCUGUUAGAGCAAUCGAAGCAGUGAACUUAAGCCCCAGUAAACGGCGGCCGUAACUAUAACGGUCCUAAGGUAGCGAAAUUCCUUGUCGGGUAAGUUCCGACCCGCACGAAAGGCGUAACGAUUUGGGCACUGUCUCAACAACAGACUCGGUGAAAUUGUAAUUCCGGUGAAGAUGCCGGAUACCUGCGACAGGACGGAAAGACCCCAUGGAGCUUUACUGUAGCUUGACAUUGGGUCUUGGUACUACAUGUACAGGAUAGGUGGGAGGCUUUGAAACCAGGACGCCAGUUUUGGCGGAGCCAUCCUUGGGAUACCACCCUUGUAGUACUGGGACUCUAACCAUAGGCCAUGAAUCUGGUCUUGGGACACUGUCAGGUGGGCAGUUUGACUGGGGCGGUCGCCUCCCAAAAGGUAACGGAGGCGCUCAAAGGUUCUCUCAGUACGGUCGGAAAUCGUACGUAGAGUGUAAAGGCAAAAGAGAGCUUGAUUGCAAGACAUACAGGUCGAGCAAGGAUGAAAAUCGGACUUAGUGAUCCGGUGGUUCUGCGUGGAAGGGCCAUCGCUCAACGGAUAAAAGCUACCCUGGGGAUAACAGGCUUAUCUCCCCCAAGAGUCCACAUCGACGGGGAGGUUUGGCACCUCGAUGUCGGCUCAUCACAUCCUGGGGCUGUAGUAGGUCCCAAGGGUUGGGCUGUUCGCCCAUUAAAGUGGUACGCGAGCUGGGUUCAGAACGUCGUGAGACAGUUCGGUCCCUAUCCGUCGCAGGCGUAGGAAAUUUGAGAAGACCUGUCCUUAGUACGAGAGGACCGGGAUGGACGUACCUCUGGUGUACCAGUUG